RNAcentral lists this long non-coding RNA (2752 nucleotides) under Linum usitatissimum (flax). Its description in RNAcentral is "long non-coding RNA (LUSI_LNC006760)". Lineage: Eukaryota; Viridiplantae; Streptophyta; Magnoliopsida; Malpighiales; Linaceae. The record is from RNAcentral.
CGCUUGUCUCAAAUUUUCCACCUUGCUACUAUAUUUAAAAAAGAAACAUUCUUCCUUAAUUUUUUAUGGUGGAGAAUAAAAAGAAACUUAUAAUCCUAGUUGGGGAUGUUGAUGGUAUUGCUAAAAACAUACAGAAUUUAUUUUUAAAUGAUUCCCAAGUUUGUUGAUAAAACUGAAUUACCAAAAAUACUGAGCAAAGCAAGUCAAAUGUCGCUAUUGCAUUAGUAAAAACCAAUUGAGAUCUGAGUAAUGUAGUUUCCAAAGACUAGUUUCUUCCUCUAAAAAGGAUCUCGGGUCCAUUAAACCACAACAAUCCAGAAGUGGAAUUCAACCCACCAAAAUGAACACAAAGUGGAAUUUCAAUGCAAAACCAAUUGAGGUAUAGAUCAAGGCUAAUGUAGAUUGCUGCUUCCUCGGUGACAUAAUUAUCAAUCACAGCACUGGAAUUCAAGUUGUAGAUAUACAAACGAAAGAUCAUUGACUCAUAAACCAUAUGACUAAUCACCGUGUCCAACAUAACAAAACCCCAAUCUUCAGCAAAAGCAAGCGAAGCCCGGGAUUGCUUCGUGAUGGAUAUAAUUUGAAAUUGCUCCAGCGAUCACGAAGGACUGCAAAACAGAACAUAAAUUGAUAUGCAGAAAACGCUCUGCCAGUUAUGAAAAAUGAACAAACGUAUUUAAAACAAAAGAUUAGCCACUCAUCGAGAUUCACCAAAGUUUCAUCAAUUAUUUCAGAACCCUAAACCUUAUUUCUAAUCAUCGUGGCCAAAAUAACAAAAACCAAAUCUACAGCGCAAACAAGGAAGCAUGUGAAUGCUACGGUUGAUUCGUGCGGUAAUCACUUGAAAAAUGCACCAAUCAAAAGGAAGAACUACCAAUGACUAAAAAUAGAUAUACAGACACAGCACCUAGGAUUGUGAAAAACGAGCAAACAAAUCCAGACAAAAAGAUUAGCCACUCAUCGUGAUUCACCAAAAUUUCAUCAUUUAUUUCAGAACCCUAAACCAUAUAUAUAAUCAUUGUGGCCAGCAAUAACAAAAAACCAAAUCUACAGCAAAAACUAGAAAGCAACCAAACCAAAAGAACUACAUUUGUAAUCGUAACAAAGCAUCAAACUUUGACAAAUAAAAACAACUAGAACCAGAACAAAACAAACAGAGCAUCAAUCAUCGUGAUUUUCAAUAGUUUCAUCAUUCAUUUCAGAAAACCCAAUCUUAUGAAAAUUCAAAGAAGCAAGCAAAGCCCGGGAUUGUAUCUCGCUGUAUGUAUUUUUAAAAUGUUCUAAAACGACUACAUGAGUGUUAUUCACAGAUUGCUGCAGCAGGUUUUAAAACAUGUACAAGCAGAUCAAAACCAUUAUAUCAACCACUCAUACAUGAUUUUCCAUUGUAUCAUCACUCAUUUCAGAAACCCUAAACCACAUGUCCAAUCAUAGUGGCCAACAUAACAAAAACCCAGCAUUCAAAAAAGCAUAGAAGCAAGUGAAGUCCGAGAUUGCAACGUAUACAUAUUUUGAAAACGCUAUGAUGGAAAAGGAAGAACGAAAGACUAAAUGAGUGAUGUUUUGUGUAGUGCAGAUUUUCAAAAAUGAACAAACAAAUCGAAACAAAUAUAUCCACCACUUAUUAAUGAUUUUCCAUAGUUUCAUCACUUAUUUCAGAAACCCUAAACCAUUUAUCUAAUCAUCGUGGCCAACAUAACCAAAACGCAAUCUUGAGCAAAAGCAAAGAAGGAAGUGAAGUCCAAGUAUCAUAGUGGUGCACUAAUUUAAACACUAACAGGAAAAACUACCAAAGACUACAUGAGUGAUUGCAGAGACAGCAGCUGCAUAUUUUGAAAAAUGAACAAACCUAUCAAAACCAAUAUAUCAACCACUCAUACAUGAUUCACCAUAGUUUCAUCACUUAUUUCAGAAACCCUAAACCAUUUAUCUAAUCAUCAUGGCCAACGUAACCAAAACCCAACCUUCAGCAAAAGCUGAGAAGCAAGUGAAGCCCGUGGUAGCAUCGUACUGUACUUAUUUAAAAAACACUUCAAUGACAAAAAGAACCACCAAAAUAUGCAGAGACAGCAGCUGCAUAUUUUGAAAAUUGAACAAACAUAUCAAAACCAAUAUAUCAACCACUCAUACAUGAUUCACCAUAGUUUCAUCUCUAAUUUCAGAAACCCUAAACCAUUGAUCUAAUCAUCGUGGCCAUCGUAACCAAAACCCAACCUUCAACAAAAGCUGAGAAACAAGUGAAGCCCGUGGUAGCAUCGUACUGUACUUAUUUAAAAAACGCUCCAGUGACAAAAAGGACUACCAAAAUAUGCAGAGACAGCAGCUGCAUAUUUUGAAAAAUGAACAAACAUAUCAAAAUCAAUAUAUCAGUCACUCAUACAUGAUUCACCAUAGUUUCAUCACUUAUUUCAGAAACCCUAAACCAUUUGUCCAAUCAUCGUGACUAAUAUCUGAAAUGAAAUACUCAACCAAAUCACCUACAAGCAUAGAAACGCCGGUAGAUCUAAUAACAGAUAUAUGUAUCCGCCGAUCUGACUAGGAAGAAAUAAAAUAAAGGAAAGUACAAAAGGCCACAACUGCAACACUGAAGGCCACAAAGCAAUGCGGCUUCCACAUUCACUGGAGCGAUUGCUCCUCAGUGGAGCCGGGGUUGCUUGGUGUUGUACUUAUUAAUAUAAAAAAAGGCACCAAUGAACAGCAAGAACUUCCAAAACCAUAUGAGAGAUAAGCAGAGAGAGCAGCUUCAUAUUUU